AAUGAACGCUGGCGGCAGGCCUAACACAUGCAAGUCGAACGGAUCCUUCGGGAUUAGUGGCGGACGGGUGAGUAACGCGUGGGAACAUACCCAAAGGUACGGAAUAGCCUCGGGAAACUGGGAGUAAUACCGUAUGUGCUCGAAAGAGGAAAGAUCUAUCGCCUUUGGAUUGGCCCGCGUUGGAUUAGGUAGUUGGUGGGGUAAUGGCCUACCAAGCCGACGAUCCAUAGCUGGUUUGAGAGGAUGAUCAGCCACACUGGGACUGAGACACGGCCCAGGCUCCUACGGGAGGCAGCAGUGGGGAAUCUUAGACAAUGGGGGAAACCCUGGUCUAGCCAUGCCGCGUGAUCGAUGAAGGCCUUAGGGUUGUAAAGAUCUUUCAGGUGGGAAGAUAAUGACUGUACCACCAGAAGAAGCCCCGGCUAACUCCGUGCCAGCCGCCGCCGUAA
This 449-nucleotide ribosomal RNA is filed under the name uncultured bacterium. RNAcentral's name for it is "partial 16S ribosomal RNA". It matches the Rfam family "Bacterial small subunit ribosomal RNA", at positions 29 to 523 of the family's 1533-position model. The record is from RNAcentral.